GGUCUCAUGGCCGAGUGGCUAGGCGCCGGUCUGCAAAACCGUUUACAGCGGUUCGAAUCCGCUUGAGACCU
Molecule: transfer RNA, 71 nt
Filed under: Bacteroidales bacterium
Lineage: Bacteria; Pseudomonadati; Bacteroidota; Bacteroidia; Bacteroidales
Description: tRNA-Cys
Rfam family: tRNA
About the family: Transfer RNA (tRNA) molecules are approximately 80 nucleotides in length. Their secondary structure includes four short double-helical elements and three loops (D, anti-codon, and T loops). Further hydrogen bonds mediate the characteristic L-shaped molecular structure. tRNAs have two regions of fundamental functional importance: the anti-codon, which is responsible for specific mRNA codon recognition, and the 3' end, to which the tRNAs corresponding amino acid is attached (by aminoacyl-tRNA synthetases). tRNAs cope with the degeneracy of the genetic code in two manners: having more than one tRNA (with a specific anti-codon) for a particular amino acid; and 'wobble' base-pairing, i.e. permitting non-standard base-pairing at the 3rd anti-codon position.
Source: RNAcentral